GACGAACGCUGGCGGCGUGCUUAACACAUGCAAGUCGAACGGAAAGGCCCUGCUUUUGUGGGGUGCUCGAGUGGCGAACGGGUGAGUAACACGUGAGUAACCUGCCCUUGACUUUGGGAUAACUUCAGGAAACUGGGGCUAAUACCGGAUAGGAGCUCCUGCUGCAUGGUGGGGGUUGGAAAGUUUCGGCGGUUGGGGAUGGACUCGCGGCUUAUCAGCUUGUUGGUGGGGUAGUGGCUUACCAAGGCUUUGACGGGUAGCCGGCCUGAGAGGGUGACCGGAGAGUAGGGAGGUGGCGGACGGACACGGAGCGCAGGGGAGGAGAGAGAGGGGAAUGUGCGACGGUGGGCGGAGCGGGCGGGCGGCAGGGGCGCGGGGGGGGGGCCGUCUGUGCGGUUGUCCCGCGCUGCCGGGGGGGGCGAGGGGGGAGGGAGGGUAAUGGGGAAAGAAGCAGCGGCUAACGACGUGACAGCGGCCGCGGUAAGACGCGGAAGAGCAUACGUCCUACC
Molecule: ribosomal RNA, 509 nt
Filed under: uncultured bacterium
Lineage: Bacteria
Description: partial 16S ribosomal RNA
Rfam family: Bacterial small subunit ribosomal RNA (bases 20-328)
Source: RNAcentral